RNAcentral lists this unclassified non-coding RNA (298 nucleotides) under Glomus sp. RNAcentral describes it as "partial contains internal transcribed spacer 2 and large subunit ribosomal RNA". Lineage: Eukaryota; Fungi; Glomeromycota; Glomeromycetes; Glomerales; Glomeraceae. The record is from RNAcentral.
GGGAAGAAGAAAAGGGGGGAACGCAAAGGGCACGCGCGGGGAGGCCGGAGAGGAGGCCGGGGGGAGGGGCAGGGGAAAGAAAAAGCGGGGGGGGGGAGGCCGGGCGUGGUGACGCACCGGAUUUGGGUCGUCUUGCCUUCGGUUAAGUGACCUAAAAUUUUGCAUGAUUUUUUUCGAACGUAUUUAAAUGAUUUUACGUACGUUUGCGAUAUCGAAUACUAGGUGUGGUCAUCCUCAUGAGGCGCGCCUAUAAUUGUUCAUCAAGAUGACCUCAAAUCAGGUAGGAGUACCCGCUGAA